GGUGCCAUAGUCUAGUGGUAUGACAUCACGUUGUGGCCGUGAUAGCGAGGGUUCGAUUCCCUCUGGCGCCA
Molecule: non-coding RNA, 71 nt
Organism: Byssothecium circinans
Lineage: Eukaryota; Fungi; Ascomycota; Dothideomycetes; Pleosporales; Massarinaceae
Source: the annotation of a GenBank genome assembly